GAUGAAGAACGUAGCGAAAUGCGAUAAGUAAUGUGAAUUGCAGAAUUCAGUGAAUCAUCGAAUCUUUGAACGCACCUUGCGCUCCUUGGUAUUCCGAGGAGCAUGCCUGUUUGAGUGUCAUUAAUAUAUCAACCUCUUCAGCUUAUGCUUGUUGAGCGUUGGAUGGUGGGGGUUUGCUGGUGUCUUAUGAAGUCAGCUCCUCUGAAAUGCAUUAGCGGAACAAUUUGUUGACCGUUCAUUGGUGUGAUAAAAAUAUCUACGCUAUUGACGUCAGUCAGUUCAGCUUCUAACAGUCCAUUGACUUGGACAAAUUUUUCAUUAAUGUGACCUCAAAUCAGGUAGGACUACCCGCUGAACUUAAGCAUAUCAAUAAGCGGAGGA
This 381-nucleotide unclassified non-coding RNA is filed under the name soil metagenome. Its description in RNAcentral is "partial contains 5.8S ribosomal RNA, internal transcribed spacer 2, and large subunit ribosomal RNA". The stretch from base 1 to 120 matches the Rfam family "5.8S ribosomal RNA", at positions 35 to 154 of the family's 154-position model. The record is from RNAcentral.